AGAGUUUGAUCCUGGCUCAGAAUGAACGCUGGCGGCGUGGUUAAGACAUGCAAGUCGAACGGGACUCAUUGAAGCGCAAGUGGAUAUGAGUUCAGUGGCGAACGGGUGCGUAACACGCGAACAAUCUACCUCCGAGUGGGGAAUAGCUCGUCGAAAGGCGAAUUAAUACCGCAUACGGUCGGGUCUCGCAUGAGAUCCGU
This 200-nucleotide ribosomal RNA is filed under the name uncultured bacterium. Its description in RNAcentral is "partial 16S ribosomal RNA". It matches the Rfam family "Bacterial small subunit ribosomal RNA", at positions 8 to 200 of the family's 1533-position model. The record is from RNAcentral.